This 492-nucleotide ribosomal RNA is filed under the name uncultured bacterium. RNAcentral's name for it is "partial 16S ribosomal RNA". It matches the Rfam family "Bacterial small subunit ribosomal RNA", at positions 29 to 507 of the family's 1533-position model. The record is from RNAcentral.
AGUGAACGCUGGCGGUACGCCUAACACAUGCAAGUCGAACGGCAGCACAGUAAGAGCUUGCUCUUACGGGUGGCGAGUGGCGGACGUGUGAGGAAUACAUCGGAAUCUACUUUUUCGUGGGGGAUAACGUAGGGAAACUUACGCUAAUACCGCAUACGACCUACGGGUGAAAGCAGGGGAUCUUCGGCCCUUGCGCGAUUGAAUGAGCCGAUGUCGGAUUAGCUAGUUGGCGGGGUAAAGGCCCACCAAGGCGACGAUCCGUAGCUGGUCUGAGAGGAUGAUCAGCCACACUGGAACUGAGACACGGUCCAGACUCCUACGGGAGGCAGCAGUGGGGAAUAUUGGACAAUGGGCGCAAGCCUGAUCCAGCCAUACCGCGUGGGUGAAGAAGGCCUUCGGGUUGUAAAGCCCUUUUGUUGGGAAAGAAAAGCAGCAGGUUAAUACCCCGCUGUUCUGACGGUACCCAAAGAAUAAGCACCGGCUAACUUCGUG